Molecule: non-coding RNA, 276 nt
Organism: Dromiciops gliroides (monito del monte)
Lineage: Eukaryota; Metazoa; Chordata; Mammalia; Microbiotheria; Microbiotheriidae
Source: RefSeq, a predicted model, not a curated record
UGUCUGCAGUCUUGGAAUGCUCUGGGUUGUUUGUGCCCCUGAGUACACCUGACUUGCAGAAAGAAUAUAUAUUCCAGAGGAAGCUGAGGCAUGGCUGUUAAAGGACGAACAGCAUUAUGUGCAAUAUUCCUCUGACACCAACUGAAUACUGUUGCCACGGUGAUGGUGACUUUUCCAUGUCAUUAUCUAUCAACCAACAGUAAGAGAAGCUUUGCAGUCAAGAUAUUGUUUAGCAAAUGGAGAGAUUUUUGCUGAACACUAAAAACUGCUAUAAAA